GCUUGCUGUAAACAAAAUGUUAGGCAUAAUGUUAGGUUAGUGUCAGGAUCCCACAGUCUUCCCAUACUUCCUGCUGAUUCCACACUUCUGUUUUGUCUACAUAAA
Molecule: long non-coding RNA, 105 nt
Organism: Etheostoma spectabile (orangethroat darter)
Lineage: Eukaryota; Metazoa; Chordata; Actinopteri; Perciformes; Percidae
Exons: 3
Source: RefSeq, a predicted model, not a curated record